Molecule: non-coding RNA, 343 nt
Organism: Monodelphis domestica (gray short-tailed opossum)
Lineage: Eukaryota; Metazoa; Chordata; Mammalia; Didelphimorphia; Didelphidae
Source: RefSeq, a predicted model, not a curated record
CCCAAUUCUGCUAUCUUUUCAGUUGAAGUCAAGCAGGGAUUCAGAAUUGGAUGUAUAUGUUUGAGAGAGAGUGUGUUCUGGAUUUGGAAGAAAAUUUUCAACUGUAAAUAUUCUUGCAAUGCUACUCCAGUAAAUGUCUUUCCUCAAAGCCAACUGUCCUGUGGUUAUCUCCUGGAAGGAUUGAUUUCUCUUGUGAAGGCAAGGCCCAGUUAGACACCUCAAUGAACCCUGUAGUACCCAGUGAGACCAGGGGACCUCUGGAGCUCAGGAGUUCUAAGCCACAGUGGGGUAUGUACCUACUUUGAUAUUAUUAUGGAAAGCUCCUAGGAGUGAUGGAACAUCA